Oxyura jamaicensis (ruddy duck) is the source of this 1081-nucleotide long non-coding RNA. RefSeq lists it as uncharacterized. The record is from RefSeq and is a predicted model, not a curated record. The transcript has 6 exons. NCBI's taxonomy places the organism in Eukaryota, Metazoa, Chordata, Aves, Anseriformes, Anatidae.
CCCAUGGUAUCCAGAGCAACUGUUUAAGUGGACUAAGGGAGAAAGGGAAGCUAACUGGCCUGAGAACUUCCUUCUACUGGGAAAAUCCACAAGUCCAUUAAAGGCAGAUUUUAUCCUACUUGCAGCUGUUUGGUGGCAGAUGACAAAACUUGUCAGCCAAAGGAGUUGGAACUGCCACCUAGGCUUCAGCCACUUCAAGACAUUUUCAAACUGCUUAUAGAGCCAAAGUCCUGCCAGCUGCAAGCUACUUAGAGCAAGAUAAUCAAAUGAUCUCCUCCAGCUGCAUUGCAACACCUGGCUGCUGUAGGACAUCUCACUGCAGCUUGCAAGAAAAAAGGGAAGAUUACGUGCAUCUAAACUUCCUUCAAAGAUAGAAGGCAUGCUAGAAAGAUAUGUUCAACUACAGUAUUUCAUCGGAGAGGAAAACUGGAGAAAAAUCCUUCUGAUGAUUUUGCCAGUGGUCAUCCAAGCGCUUGGCAUCCAGCUCAUUCUGUUUCUCCUGUUGCCUCUCCAGCAGCUUCUUUAAGACUCUCAGUCGGAUCUCCUGCAACCUGCAAGGAAAAGAAAGGCCAGCUGAAAGGAUAAAGGGCUCUGUCCUAAAAAGAAAUGCAAUAUGGAAGAACAUUUGUCACACUCAUUUAAAAGAAAAAAACAACAAAAACAACAAAAAUCAAAAAUGCAACACUAAGUUAAAGCUGGGAUGAAAACAGAGGACCACGUACUGAGAUCAACUGCCUUCAAAGACCUCAUGUGAACCCUGUGAGCUGUGAUGUGGAACUUGGGGAGCCUACUGUAUGGUUACCAUCUACAGCAAAGCCUGAAGAGAGAUAAGCCUUAACCUCACGUGGCAGACAGUUUACUGCCAAGAGCAGAUAGCACAAGGAUGAAGGAAUGUGUAACAUCCACCCUAUAAGAAACAGAUGGGCAGCCAUACUCCACAACAGCUGCAAUCUCUUAAUUUCAAGGGAAAUAUAAGUAGGAGCAAAUUGCAGUCAUCUCCACUUCAGUGUGUAAGGGUUUUUGUUGUUUUUGUUUGCAUGUUUGUUUUAAAUUAUCCAACCAUGGAACACUUACACAGCAA